CUUCCCACGCGGUCUCUGGGCUGGUUGAGCUGCGCCGCUGCAGGUAGUGCUGAGUUGCUCCAGUGCCACUGGGUUAGGGUCUCCACAACCGAGCUGGUCUCAGCAAGUGGUGUCCAUACAUGGGGCUCGAACCUGGGUUGAAGGGUCGCCAGAGCGACGGUUGGAGAACGUGGAACUAAGCUGGAGGACACCUGAGUACUCUUAAGCAAUCCCCGUGGUGAGUAAGAAGGGGAGCUCGGAAGCAUCAGGGUAUCAAUGGGACAAGUGUGGGCUCUGGUUCAUUCCACCUUGGAACCUUUUCACCCUAAUGAUGAGGAGGAAGGAAAGUAUAAUGAACUAACAGAAGACAUGACAGAGCAGGUUUGUUUGCCAGCUAAAGCUAAAGCGGCAAAGGAGGAAGAGGUUCCUCCCUACCCUUCUGCACCCCCUCAUUAUUUUGAAGAAAAAGAGUAGCCUGACCCUCCAGAUCUUUCUUUUCCAGAGGACACUGGGUGAAAAGUAGUUGCCCCAGUGACCGAGCAGUGCCUCGAGUGACCGCUCUCAGUUCUAUUCAAGCAGGAAU
Molecule: long non-coding RNA, 562 nt
Filed under: Homo sapiens (human)
Lineage: Eukaryota; Metazoa; Chordata; Mammalia; Primates; Hominidae
Description: non-protein coding TMCC1-AS1:7
Source: RNAcentral